RNAcentral lists this ribosomal RNA (467 nucleotides) under uncultured bacterium. RNAcentral's name for it is "partial 16S ribosomal RNA". It matches the Rfam family "Bacterial small subunit ribosomal RNA", at positions 29 to 507 of the family's 1533-position model. The record is from RNAcentral.
ACGAACGCUGGCGGCGUGCUUAACCCCUGCCAGUCGAACGGUGAAGCUCCAGCUUGCUGGAGUGGAUCAGUGGCGAACGGGUGAGUAACACGUGAGCAACCUGCCCCUGACUCUGGAAUAAGCGCUGGAAACGGCGUCUAAUACUGGAUACGAGAAGGGCCCGCAUGGGCACUUUCUGGAAAGUUUUUCGGUUGGGGAUGGGCUCGCGGCCUAUCAGCUUGUUGGUGAGGUAAUGGCUCACCAAGGCGACGACGGGUAGCCGGCCUGAGAGGGCGACCGGCCACACUGGGACUGAGACACGGCCCAGACUCCUACGGGAGGCAGCAGUGGGGAAUAUUGCACAAUGGGCGAAAGCCUGAUGCAGCGACGCCGCGUGAGGGAUGACGGCCUUCGGGUUGUAAACCUCUUUCAGCAGGGAAGAAGCGAAAGUGACGGUACCUGCAGAAGAAGCACCGGCUAACUACGUG